ACUCAAAUGAAUUGACGGGGGCCCGCACAAGCAGUGGAGUAUGUGGUUUAAUUCGAAGCAACGCGAAGAACCUUACCAGGGCUUGACAUCUGCCGAAUCCCAAGAGAUUGGGAGUGCCUUUUAGGAACGGCAAGACAGGUGGUGCAUGGUUGUCGUCAGCUCGUGUCGUGAGAUGUUGGGUUAAGUCCCGCAACGAGCGCAACCCUUAUUGUUAGUUGCCAUCAUUUGGUUGGGCACUCUAACGAGACUGCCGGUGACAAAUCGGAGGAAGGUGGGGACGACGUCAAAUCAUCAUGCCCCUUAUGUCCUGGGCUACACACGUACUACAAUGGCCGCAAACAACGGGAAGCGAAGCCGCGAGGCGGAGCAAAUCCCCAAAAGCGGUCCCAGUUCGGAUUGCAGGCUGAAACUCGCCUGCAUGAAGUCGGAAUUGCUAGUAAUCGCAGAUCAGCAUGCUGCGGUGAAUACGUUCCCGGGCCUUGUACACACCGCCCGU
RNAcentral lists this ribosomal RNA (496 nucleotides) under uncultured bacterium. RNAcentral describes it as "bacterial SSU rRNA". It matches the Rfam family "Bacterial small subunit ribosomal RNA", at positions 899 to 1397 of the family's 1533-position model. The record is from RNAcentral.